This 967-nucleotide ribosomal RNA is filed under the name Staphylococcus aureus VET0889S. RNAcentral's name for it is "bacterial SSU rRNA". It matches the Rfam family "Bacterial small subunit ribosomal RNA", at positions 8 to 956 of the family's 1533-position model. Lineage: Bacteria; Bacillati; Bacillota; Bacilli; Caryophanales; Staphylococcaceae. The record is from RNAcentral.
AGAGUUUGAUCCUGGCUCAGGAUGAACGCUGGCGGCGUGCCUAAUACAUGCAAGUCGAGCGAACGGACGAGAAGCUUGCUUCUCUGAUGUUAGCGGCGGACGGGUGAGUAACACGUGGAUAACCUACCUAUAAGACUGGGAUAACUUCGGGAAACCGGAGCUAAUACCGGAUAAUAUUUUGAACCGCAUGGUUCAAAAGUGAAAGACGGUCUUGCUGUCACUUAUAGAUGGAUCCGCGCUGCAUUAGCUAGUUGGUAAGGUAACGGCUUACCAAGGCAACGAUGCAUAGCCGACCUGAGAGGGUGAUCGGCCACACUGGAACUGAGACACGGUCCAGACUCCUACGGGAGGCAGCAGUAGGGAAUCUUCCGCAAUGGGCGAAAGCCUGACGGAGCAACGCCGCGUGAGUGAUGAAGGUCUUCGGAUCGUAAAACUCUGUUAUUAGGGAAGAACAUAUGUGUAAGUAACUGUGCACAUCUUGACGGUACCUAAUCAGAAAGCCACGGCUAACUACGUGCCAGCAGCCGCGGUAAUACGUAGGUGGCAAGCGUUAUCCGGAAUUAUUGGGCGUAAAGCGCGCGUAGGCGGUUUUUUAAGUCUGAUGUGAAAGCCCACGGCUCAACCGUGGAGGGUCAUUGGAAACUGGAAAACUUGAGUGCAGAAGAGGAAAGUGGAAUUCCAUGUGUAGCGGUGAAAUGCGCAGAGAUAUGGAGGAACACCAGUGGCGAAGGCGACUUUCUGGUCUGUAACUGACGCUGAUGUGCGAAAGCGUGGGGAUCAAACAGGAUUAGAUACCCUGGUAGUCCACGCCGUAAACGAUGAGUGCUAAGUGUUAGGGGGGUUCCGCCCCUUAGUGCUGCAGCUAACGCAUUAAGCACUCCGCCUGGGGAGUACGACCGCAAGGUUGAAACUCAAAGGAAUUGACGGGGACCCGCACAAGCGGUGGAGCAUGUGGUUUAAUUCGAAG